RNAcentral lists this small nuclear RNA (287 nucleotides) under Jaculus jaculus (lesser Egyptian jerboa). RNAcentral's name for it is "7SK RNA (ENSJJAG00000003863.1)". It matches the Rfam family "7SK RNA". From Rfam's summary of the family: 7SK was discovered as an abundant small nuclear RNA in the mid-70s but a possible function has only recently been suggested. Two independent studies have found that 7SK RNA binds the CDK9/cyclin T complex (known as elongation factor P-TEFb). Lineage: Eukaryota; Metazoa; Chordata; Mammalia; Rodentia; Dipodidae. The record is from RNAcentral.
UGUUUUGAGGGUGACUAGCUACAACAUCUGUUACCCCUUGAUCGCCAGAGUUCAUUCUGUUGAUUUGGAUGGCUAGGUGGGUGUCUCCUUCCUCCCUCACCACUCCAUGUGUGUCCUUCCCAAAGCUGAGCACCAGUCGAAUAGGACAACGUUCCCAGAAUAGACGAAGACUGCUCUUCCAUCAAGGAGCACUCACCUGCUACGACCCCCAAACAAGCCCUCAAGGUACAUAGAGCCAACCCUGGUAAGUGUGUGUUGAUGAGAUGAAGCACAGACAGAUGGAUUUU